AACCCUUAACUCUCUCUCUCUAGCUCUCACUGCUCGGAAUUGGUGAGUCAGUUUCAGAACUCUACUGUUGAAGCAUUUUAAUUUUUGAGGGAGAUGAGAUUGAGAGAGUUCACGCUUUCAAUCCUUCACCGAGAGGUGGUUGAAAACCAUUAUGGAGUGAGCCAAGCUUCUACCUUACUGCAAGACUGAAGUAUUUUGUAGGAGUUCUAGAAUGAAGCAUAGUGCACAGACUUACUGGACAAAGGACUUACAAGAAUUAGCAUUCUUUUACCUAUAUGUUAAUUAUAUUUGUACAUGUUAUUAGUAGUGGACUUUUCACUAAUGGUAGUUAUUUAGGUAUUCAUGGGUGUGAUUAUCAUUGGGGAUACAAUCAUUUAGCAUUCUUUUGCCUAAAUGCUAAUUUAAUUUGUAUAUCUUUCUUUUGGCAUUUGUGGACAAUGACAAAUGGUUAUGUAAUACGUUAUUAAGUGGAUACAUUAAUGCAUAUUAUUCUUGACAUUGACACA
This is a long non-coding RNA of Quercus robur (English oak), 506 nucleotides long. RefSeq lists it as uncharacterized. Lineage: Eukaryota; Viridiplantae; Streptophyta; Magnoliopsida; Fagales; Fagaceae. The transcript is spliced from 4 exons. The record is from RefSeq and is a predicted model, not a curated record.